Molecule: unclassified non-coding RNA, 317 nt
Filed under: Hevea brasiliensis (rubber tree)
Lineage: Eukaryota; Viridiplantae; Streptophyta; Magnoliopsida; Malpighiales; Euphorbiaceae
Source: RNAcentral
AGAUCUCUUUAGAAACCGAUAAGUGAGAAAUUUCAUAAGCAAUACUAGGUUUUUUGGAUGAUUGUAUGUAAUUAUUAAUUUGUGAUUAUUGUUACAGGGUGAAGUGGAAAAGGAAAAGCUUGAUUCUUACGAAGUACACUUUUAUGCACCUUGCAAGGAAGAAAUAGAAAAGGUAGCAAGAGAAAACGGGUGUUUUGAAGUGGAGAGGCUUGAAAUGUUUGAAAUAGAGAAAACAAUUGGAAAAGGCAUGAGCUAUGGGACAAUGGUGGCUAUGACAGUUAGAUCAAUCCAAGAAUCAAUGCUGGCUCACCAUUUUG